Peromyscus californicus insignis is the source of this 389-nucleotide long non-coding RNA. RefSeq lists it as uncharacterized. The transcript has 3 exons. The record is from RefSeq and is a predicted model, not a curated record. Lineage: Eukaryota; Metazoa; Chordata; Mammalia; Rodentia; Cricetidae.
CAGGCACUGGCUAAGUGUUACAGAACAGAACUGUUCACCACGCAAAGACCCAAGUGCAACAAGGGAUAAAGAAGACCUCACAAGUUUUACGAUCCUGCCAGACUCCUCCCAAGCUUGCUGUAGCUUCCAGGUGAUUCCAGCAGGACAAGCACCACAACCAUUUUCAGGCUCAGACAAAGUGGUCUCUGCAGUUUCUCAGUCUGUGAUCUAAAGAGUAUAGGGGGAAGUCAACCAGGAAAAAGAUCAUGAGCCUGAGAUGGAGAUUACAAAUUAUCACUGGAAGCAGAGGGAUUGGGAGUCUUCAUCCCUCCUGAGCAUCUCCAACCGAGAAAGGUGACUUCUUACCUUGCAGUUCCUGUCAUCGAUGCUGGUUUCCUCAAACUCUUCCC